GAUGAACGCUAGCGGCAGGCCUAAUACAUGCAAGUCGAACGGUAACAUGAGUAGCAAUACUUGAUGACGAGUGGCGCACGGGUGCGUAACGCGUAUGCAACCUACCUUUAACCGGGACACAACAUCGAGAAAUCGGUGCUAAUAUCCCAUAACAUCUCGAAGAGGCAUCUCUUUGGGAUUAAAGCUCCGGCGGUUUUAGAUGGGCAUGCGUGACAUUAGCUAGUUGGUGAGGUAACGGCUCACCAAGGCUGCGAUGUCUAGGGGUUCUGAGAGGACAUUCCCCCACACUGGUACUGAGACACGGACCAGACUCCUACGGGAGGCAG
RNAcentral lists this ribosomal RNA (326 nucleotides) under uncultured Bacteroidota bacterium. Its description in RNAcentral is "bacterial SSU rRNA". It matches the Rfam family "Bacterial small subunit ribosomal RNA", at positions 28 to 351 of the family's 1533-position model. Lineage: Bacteria; Pseudomonadati; Bacteroidota. The record is from RNAcentral.